Molecule: ribosomal RNA, 327 nt
Filed under: uncultured bacterium
Lineage: Bacteria
Description: bacterial SSU rRNA
Rfam family: Bacterial small subunit ribosomal RNA
Source: RNAcentral
ACGAAGGUGGUCUAAUACCAUAUAGUAUCCAUCUCGUAUGGAUUAAAGCUUUAUGCGCUUUGGGAGGGGCCUGCGUUUGAUUAGCUAGUUGGUGAGGUAAAAGCUCACCAAGGCGACGAUCAAUAGCUGGUUUGAGAGGAUGACCAGCCACACUGGGACUGAGAUACGGCCAGACUCCUACGGGAGGCAGCAGUAAGGAAUCUUCCACAAUGGGGCAACCCUGAUGGAGCAAUACCGCGUGCAGGAUGAAGCGUUUCGGCGUGUAAACUGCUUUUAUCACCGAAGAUUAUGACUGUAGGUGAAGAAUAAGGACCGGCUAACUACGUG